CCUACGGGUGGCAGCAGUGAGGAAUAUUGGUCAAUGGCCGGGAGGCUGAACCAGCCAAGUAGCGUGCAGGAUGACGGCCCUACGGGUUGUAAACUGCUUUUAUACGGGAAUAACGCGCCUUACGUGUAGGGCUUUGCAUGUACCGUAUGAAUAAGGACCGGCUAAUUCCGUGCCAGCAGCCGCGGUAAUACGGAAGGUCCGGGCGUUAUCCGGAUUUAUUGGGUUUAAAGGGAGCGUAGGCCGCAUGUCAAGCGUGCUGUGAAAUGUCCGGGCUCAACCCGGGCCUUGCAGCGCGAACUGGCGUGCUUGAGUCCGCGGAAAGCAGGCGGAAUUCGUCGUGUAGCGGUGAAAUGCUUAGAUAUGACGAAGAACCCCGAUUGCGAAGGCAGCUUGCUGCAGCGGAACUGACGCUGAUGCUCGAAAGCGCGGGUAUCGAACAGGAUUAGAUACCCGAGUAGUC
RNAcentral lists this ribosomal RNA (460 nucleotides) under uncultured bacterium. Its description in RNAcentral is "partial 16S ribosomal RNA". It matches the Rfam family "Bacterial small subunit ribosomal RNA", at positions 338 to 795 of the family's 1533-position model. The record is from RNAcentral.